GUAGGUGGCAAGCGUUGUCCGGAAUUAUUGGGCGUAAAGCGCGCGCAGGCGGUCCUUUAAGUCUGAUGUGAAAGCCCACGGCUCAACCGUGGAGGGUCAUUGGAAACUGGGGGACUUGAGUACAGAAGAGGAAAGCGGAAUUCCAAGUGUAGCGGUGAAAUGCGUAGAGAUUUGGAGGAACACCAGUGGCGAAGGCGGCUUUCUGGUCUGUAACUGACGCUGAGGCGCGAAAGCGUGGGGAGCAAACAGGAUUAGAUACCCUGGUAGUCCACGCCGUAAACGAUGAGUGCUAAGUGUUAGGGGGUUUCCCGUCCCCUUAGUGCUGCAGCUAACGCAUUAAGCACUCCGCCUGGGGAGUACGGCCGCAAGGCUG
RNAcentral lists this ribosomal RNA (373 nucleotides) under uncultured organism. RNAcentral's name for it is "partial 16S ribosomal RNA". It matches the Rfam family "Bacterial small subunit ribosomal RNA", at positions 527 to 896 of the family's 1533-position model. The record is from RNAcentral.